Small nucleolar RNA from Vitis vinifera (wine grape), 81 nucleotides. It matches the Rfam family "Small nucleolar RNA R16". Rfam says of the family: snoR16 is a member of the C/D class of snoRNA which contain the C (UGAUGA) and D (CUGA) box motifs. Most of the members of the box C/D family function in directing site-specific 2'-O-methylation of substrate RNAs. The record is from Rfam. NCBI's taxonomy places the organism in Eukaryota, Viridiplantae, Streptophyta, Magnoliopsida, Vitales, Vitaceae.
GAAGGCAAAUGAUGAAAAUAGUCUUAUCCUACACUCUGAAGUUAAUGUAGACUAUAACUCCGCUUAUUAUCUGAUGCCUUC